UUACUUUGGUGAGGACCUUAACCACUUCCAAGUGAUGGUCUAAACUGUUUCUUGCUUUGAAUCACGUUGUUACUGUACCCUAUGUUUCAGAUCAUUUACAAAUUUUAUUCUUACACUCUUUAAUGGAGCCGCCUUACUAAGUUAGUGGUGCGGCAUGGGACGUUCCAACAAUUAAAUUAUGAUGGAUUAAGUGAAAGUGCCAUUAGUUGGAAGUACCUGCAAUCUCUUCAGUUGAUCAAUUGCUCGAGUAUUUGGGAUGAAGCCUUAUGUGGUAUAACAAGAGGGUGCAGGAACUUGAAGAAGCUCGAUAUUUUCCAUUGUCCUGGGGUGGGGGAUGAAGGGAUAAUUUCUGUUAGUCGGAACUGUAAAUUUCUUACAGACCUCAUCCUAUGUUACUGCGACCAAAGCUGGGAGACAAAGGCAUGUCGGCAAUAGGUGUUGGCUGCCUAUUACUUAAGGAUUUGAAGAUAUCAGGCUGUGAACAGAUAACAGAUAUAGGUCUUGGCUUUGUAGCUAGAAACUGUAAAUUAUUAGAACCCUGCAGCAUGACGGAAUGCUGUGGGAUUUCAAGAACUGGAGUUGCAAACUUGAUUGGCAGUUGUC
This is a long non-coding RNA of Olea europaea var. sylvestris, 603 nucleotides long. RefSeq lists it as uncharacterized. The transcript is spliced from 3 exons. The record is from RefSeq and is a predicted model, not a curated record. NCBI's taxonomy places the organism in Eukaryota, Viridiplantae, Streptophyta, Magnoliopsida, Lamiales, Oleaceae.